CAGAAAGUCGAGAGUUGUUUUAUCUUUAGAGAAAUCUGCUUACCCAUGGGUGCUUUUCAAGACGCAACACGUGCGGGUGCCAUUGGAGACUGAUUUCAUUUUUUCUAACCUUUAAGCACUAAGAGAUCUUAGUAGAUUUUCUCAGCUGAGGUGGAAUGUUAUUGUUCAUUGCUCUCAGAUUUUAUUUAUGCAAACAUAGAUAUACAAUCUAGUGAAGUAAGCUCAGUUGAGAGGAUUUUGAAGUUGGUUAUACUUGCUGGAAUGGCAUCAAAAAAAAGUCCUAGAUGAAUAUCUCCUGCAUGUUGCUUGGUGAAGGUACUUUGUUAAAGGUUAUUUCUUUAAACUUUGUAAGUAUGCUUUAAAAGAAUCAACCUACUGCAUGCCUUGUCUGCAAUGAUUAAGAGAGUUUACAUUUGUUUUGUUUAUACAUGCAAUGACUGGCAUAAGCUCUGUAAUUUUUUGAAUCUGUCUAAUUUGGAGGUAGACAUUAGUAAUUACUUCAAGCACUUUGACAUUAUUUGAACCUCUGUAAUUUGUAGGUAGACAUUUCCAAUUCAAAGGUUCAUAAUAUCAGUCAAGUGUAAUAUUUUUAUGCACCAAUAGUAGGCCUGCUGGAUGCUUCACUCCCAGAUUUAAUGUAUAGCCAUGUUGAGGCAAUGUUUUAAGGGAAGUAGAGUAUUUUUGUGUUUAGUGGCAUGCAGUAUGUUAUUAGGAAUUUAAGCAAUUGCAUGAAAAUUAGGUAUGUACUUGUUGCUAUAAUGUAUGAAGUGAAAGGAAAAAUGAAAUGUGGUGAUUGAAGCUUGUACUAUAUCUAGAUGGCAAUGUACAUGAAAAUAUGAGUAAAAUAUAUGGUGUUUGAUUUAUAUAUGGCAUGUCAUUAAGCUAUAUUAAGUCCAAAAGAAAAAGUCCUCAAAAUACAGGCAAUUGGC
Juglans microcarpa x Juglans regia is the source of this 929-nucleotide long non-coding RNA. RefSeq lists it as uncharacterized. The transcript is spliced from 4 exons. The record is from RefSeq and is a predicted model, not a curated record. Lineage: Eukaryota; Viridiplantae; Streptophyta; Magnoliopsida; Fagales; Juglandaceae.